Molecule: long non-coding RNA, 887 nt
Organism: Astatotilapia calliptera (eastern happy)
Lineage: Eukaryota; Metazoa; Chordata; Actinopteri; Cichliformes; Cichlidae
Source: Ensembl
AAAAAAUCUGUGAAACAGCGAGGUGAAAGGUGAACUGCGUUAUAGCGAGGGACCUCUGUAAUUUUGAAGGUUCCUUCAUGUAAUAAUCUGCUAGAGGGUGUGGGGGGGCCACAGCCCCGUCCUCCAGGGCGUGAAGCAGGUGUGGAGGAGAUCAAAACUCCAGACAUCCAGAGGCCCCCAGAACACAAGAGACCAAGGAAGACCAACAGAGGGGCAGCUGCGCCACUGUCCCGGAAAGAGCUGAGGAGAGUCCCAGAUGAGGGCUCACUCAGCAGCCGCGGAGCAGAAGCCAGGGGGACGCCCAUCCCCGGACACAAAGAACCACCAACGCACCGAUGUCUGAGGGGGUCCGCCACUGGCAGGGGAAGUGGUGGUGUUUUCAACCGCUGCUGCCACGCUGACGGCGUAUGCGGCCAAACGGAAGAAGACAGUCUAUAUUCUUAGCAGCAUGCACAGCGUGGUUCAGACUGAUAACACUACCAAAAGGAAGCCAAACACUGUCACCCUUUACAACAAAACAAAGUGUGGCGUGGAUGUGAUGGACCAGAUGGUUCGGGAGUACACUGUCCGCAGAGGAACACGGCGCUGGCCAGUUGCCGUGUUUUAUAACAUGAUUGACAUGGCAGCACUGAAUGCACAUGUGCUGUAUCAAGCAUGCACCGGGAUGAAGGAAAGACAGGUGGACUUCCUGGUGGAGCUUGCAAGAGAGUUGGCUCACUCUCAUGUAGCUGCGAAGAAGGCAAGAAAAGAUAAGAUAAGAUAAGAUAAGAUAGAACUUUAUUAAUCCCUCGGGUGGGUUCCUCUGGGAAAUUCGACUUCCAAAAAGCACAGCAACGACCGAAGUUACAGUUACAGAAUUGUUAUAUAUAUAUAUAUAUAUAUAUAUA